UGGGGAAUAUUGGGCAAUGGGCGCAAGCCUGACCCAGCCAUGCCGCGUGAGUGAUGAAGGCCUUCGGGUCGUAAAGCUCUGUGGGGAGGGAAGAAACCGCUUGCCGAUAAUACCGGCGAGUCUUGACGGUACCUCCUUAGCAAGCACCGGCUAACUCCGUGCCAGCAGCCGCGGUAAUACGGAGGGUGCAAACGUUGCUCGGAAUCAUUGGGCGUAAAGCGCACGUAGGCGGCCUGUUAAGUCGGAUGUGAAAGCCCCGGGCUCAACCCGGGAAGUGCAUUCGAAACUGGCGGGCUUGAAUAUGGAAGAGGGUCGCGGAAUUCCCGGUGUAGAGGUGAAAUUCGUAGAUAUCGGGAGGAACACCAGUGGCGAAGGCGGCGACCUGGGCCAAUAUUGACGCUGAGGUGCGAAAGCGUGGGGAGCAAACAG
Molecule: ribosomal RNA, 429 nt
Filed under: uncultured bacterium
Lineage: Bacteria
Description: bacterial SSU rRNA
Rfam family: Bacterial small subunit ribosomal RNA
Source: RNAcentral